RNAcentral lists this transfer RNA (77 nucleotides) under Planctomycetota bacterium. RNAcentral's name for it is "tRNA-Ile". It matches the Rfam family "tRNA". Rfam says of the family: Transfer RNA (tRNA) molecules are approximately 80 nucleotides in length. The record is from RNAcentral. Lineage: Bacteria; Pseudomonadati; Planctomycetota.
GGGCCUCUAGCUCAGUCGGUUAGAGCAGGCGACUCAUAAUCGCUUGGUCGUAGGUUCGAGUCCUACGGGGCCCACCA